This is a long non-coding RNA of Crotalus tigris (Tiger rattlesnake), 576 nucleotides long. RefSeq lists it as uncharacterized. Lineage: Eukaryota; Metazoa; Chordata; Lepidosauria; Squamata; Viperidae. The transcript has 2 exons. The record is from RefSeq and is a predicted model, not a curated record.
UGGUGAAGGGGGGAGGGGGAUUUGUUAUUGCUGGUGUUUGGAUUUAGAUUAGAGCUGUCCCACCUGUGCUGCAAAUUCCGGAAGUCCGCUGGGAGGCAGCCACGGGCCAGACUUUCCUCUUUUUGUUGUCUUCGUUCUCCAUGUUAUGCAGCCCGGAUAGGGUAGCCCUAGUUCUACAAUGCGGGGUGAGAACCAACAUCUGCUCUGUUUGGGGAAUCUCUUCUUAGAUGGCGUGGUGUGGUCAGAAAGCGUAGCGGUUAGAGCGCGCCUAAGAUCCUUGCAAGGACUGACAUCGAAUUAGGGAGUGCAAUUGUUUCAAAAAUGAAGCAGGCUCCUUCCCAAUCAGUUCCAGCCUGGUUCCAAGACCAUCAUGCCCUGAGGGUGACUUGUUAUCUACCCAGCACCUCAGCAUUCUCAAAACAACUCUGCAGUAUCACAUUGGCUGCUGGUGGACUGGUUAUGGGGGUUGGAUUUGGGGAAGUGAAAGAAUUGCUUUGUGCUUUGCAAGGGACCUUCAGAUUCUACCUGACUUCUACAUCCACUUUCUUUCAGUAAAAUUCUUUUGAUUAACCUCAA